UGGGGAAUAUUGGACAAUGGGGGGAACCCUGAUCCAGCCAUGCCGCGUGUGUGAAGAAGGCCUUAUGGUUGUAAAGCACUUUAAGCGAGGAGGAGGGUACUGGUAUUAAUACUACCAGGUACUGGACGUUACUCGCAGAAUAAGCACCGGCUAACUCUGUUCCAGCAGCCGCGGUAAUACAGAGGGUGCGAGCGUUAAUCGGAUUUACUGGGCGUAAAGCGUGCGUAGGCGGCUAAUUGAGUCGGAUGUGAAAUCCCCGAGCUUAACUUGGGAAUUGCAUUCGAUACUGGUUAGCUAGAGUGUGGGAGAGGAUGGUAGAAUUACAGGUGUAGCGGUGAAAUGCGUAGAGAUCAGGAGGAAUACCGAUGGCGAAGGCAGCCAUCUGGCCUAACACUGACGCUGAGGUACGAAAGCAUGGGGAGCAAACAGG
This 430-nucleotide ribosomal RNA is filed under the name Pseudomonadota bacterium. RNAcentral describes it as "Proteobacteria bacterium partial 16S ribosomal RNA". It matches the Rfam family "Bacterial small subunit ribosomal RNA", at positions 355 to 776 of the family's 1533-position model. The record is from RNAcentral. Lineage: Bacteria; Pseudomonadati; Pseudomonadota.